ACCUGUUAGACCAAAAGACACACCCUCUUUCCUCAUUUGAGCCUUGACAUGUCAAGAAUCUGUUGUUCGUACUGGCAGCGUCUGUGAAGUGAAAAAGUAUCUGUUCAGGGCUCACCUUUAAGGAAACCUUUCUCCACAGAAAGGCAAAAUUUAAACUGACAAGAGAAAAACUUCUAAAAGCUAAAGGAUAUUGUAUCAAACUAAACAAGCAUCAUGGGACGAGGUGAGAGUGAGGGGUGGGAGGAAGAGCCUAAGACAACUCAGCCCAAGAGUGAUGGGGACAACAAGGAAAAAAGUUCCAACGGUGGAGGCUGUCCAAAGUGCUGCUUGAAGACCAGGGACUGUCUGAUGAGCGCAGAAUGUGGCAGAGCACUGCAGAUCUCCAGUGUUGUCGCCUUCUGCGGAAUGUGUAUCCGUGCAUGGACGUAAUCAUCAAGGCCAUCAGGACUUCUAUGAACUAUGAAGAAUCUUUCAAUCUUCUGAUUGAAAUAUUUUACUGUACUCUAAAAUGAAAAAAUGUUUAAUUUUACUCUUAAUUUUUCUUAUCUUGAGCAAAUAUUUAAUAUAAAAAAUAAGUUAGCAGUAUUUUAAAUAGAUAGGACAGUUAUUAAAAAUGUCAUACUUUACCAAAAUAUUUGAUUUAUGUAGAAAGAGGGAAGUGUAUUUGUAUCUAUGCAGUAAAUAAUGUCAUAAUGUAGAAAGUUGGAGUCAAGCUUGUUUGUAUUUAUUGUAAUUUAGAGAAUUACAUGGGAAGAGCUUGAAUGUAUAUAAAAACUAAGUAAGCGUGAUUUAUUUUUUGUGUUAAAGUAAAUUUUUUUGCAGUUUAUCUCCUUACAAAUUGGUCAGAUGUAAGAGAUAAAUACAUAACAUUCAUUUUGAAAAGCUGUUCUUACAAUUUGAUCACAACAAAACUCAUCUGACAUUCAUCAAUGCAAUGUGUGUUUGCAUUGUAUUUUGUGUUUGAUUUGAUGUAAAGCACUUUGAAAUGCCUUGCUGCUGAAAUGUGCUAUACAAAUAAAGUUUGAUUGAUUGAUCAAGCCUUCAAUUUGAGGGCUUUGGUUCAGUUUGCCCAA
Molecule: long non-coding RNA, 1073 nt
Organism: Gambusia affinis (western mosquitofish)
Lineage: Eukaryota; Metazoa; Chordata; Actinopteri; Cyprinodontiformes; Poeciliidae
Exons: 3
Source: RefSeq, a predicted model, not a curated record